Molecule: small RNA, 967 nt
Filed under: Pongo abelii (Sumatran orangutan)
Lineage: Eukaryota; Metazoa; Chordata; Mammalia; Primates; Hominidae
Description: processed transcript
Source: RNAcentral
AGAGAGAGGAGUGUGCAGAGCAGAGAUAUUUAGCAUUCAAGGGUGGAUCUGCAGAAAACCACACAGCCUCACUGCGAAGCAUCUGGGCCUGGUGGCACCGAUGGAUGAGGACAGAAAAUGGGGAUCUUUUCAGUGUUUUCCUUCUAAAGGUUAGGCAUCCGGGGCUAGAAAGAGUGAGAAAGACAAGGAUUGAUAGAAAAGGCAGUUCCACGAGAGGAGGUGUCUGCAAGGAUAGUUCAAGUAGUCACUGCUGAGGCUGUAGCAGUCCUGAAAGGUGAACAAGAGAAAGAAGCUCAACAUAAAGACCAGACUGCAGCUCUGCCUUUAGCAGCUGAAGAAACAGCUAAUCUGCCUCCUUCUCCACCCCCAUCACCUGCCUCAGAACAGACUGUCACAGUGGAGGAAGCAGCAGGUGGGGAAUCAGCUCUGGCUCCCAGUGUAUUUAAACAGGCAAAGGACAAAGUCUCUGAUGGAGUAACCAAGAGCCCAGAAAAGCGCUCUUCUCUCCCAAGACCUUCCUCCAUUCUUCCUCCUCGGAGAGGUGUGUCAGGAGACAGAGAUGAGAAUUCCUUCUCUCUCAACAGUUCUAUCUCUUCUUCAGCACGGCGGACCACCAGGUCAGAGCCAAUUCGCAGAGCAGGGAAGAGUGGUACCUCAACACCCACUACCCCUGGGUCUACUGCCAUCACUCCUGGCACCCCACCAAGUUAUUCUUCACGCACACCAGGCACUCCUGGAACCCCUAGCUAUCCCAGGACCCCUCACACACCAGGAACCCCCAAGUCUGCCAUCUUGGUGCCGAGUGAGAAGAAGGUCGCCAUCAUACGUACUCCUCCAAAAUCUCCUGCGACUCCCAAGCAGCUUCGGCUUAUUAACCAACCACUGCCAGACCUGAAGAAUGUCAAAUCCAAAAUCGGAUCAACAGACAACAUCAAAUACCAGCCUAAAGGGGGGCAGGUAAGAAUUG